This 499-nucleotide ribosomal RNA is filed under the name Synthliboramphus antiquus (ancient murrelet). RNAcentral's name for it is "partial small subunit ribosomal RNA". It matches the Rfam family "Bacterial small subunit ribosomal RNA", at positions 521 to 1246 of the family's 1533-position model. Lineage: Eukaryota; Metazoa; Chordata; Aves; Charadriiformes; Alcidae. The record is from RNAcentral.
UCAUACAAGAGACCCAAAUUAACCGUAUGCGGCGUAAAGAGUGGUCCCAUGAUAUCACAGCAACUAGGACUGAAAUGCAACUAGGCUGUCAUAAGCUCAAGAUGCACUUAAAGCCACCUUUAAAAUGAUCCUAGCAUCUCUGAUUAAUUUAACUCCACGAAAGCUAGGGCACAAACUGGGAUUAGAUACCCCAUUAUGCCUAGCCCUAAAUCUCGAUGUUUACUGUACCAAAACAUCCGCCUGAGAACUACGAGCACAAACGCUUAAAACUCUAAGGACUUGGCGGUGCCCCAAACCCACCUAGAGGAGCCUGUUCUGUAAUCGAUAACCCACGAUCCACCCGACCACCCCUCGCCAAAGCAGCCUACAUACCGCCGUCGCCAGCCCACCUCCCCUGAGAGCCCCACAGUGAGCAUAAUAGCCCAAACCCGCUAAUAAGACAGGUCAAGGUAUAGCCUAUGGGGUGGAAGAAAUGGGCUACAUUUUCUACAAUAGAAAA